CGGUAAUUCCAGCUCCAAUAGCGUAUAUUAAAAUUGUUGCAGUUAAAAAGCUCGUAGUUGAAUUUCUGCUAAAAAUAACCGGUCUGCUUUUAAUAAAGGUGGUAUCUUGGUGUGUUUUUAGCAAUAAUGUCCUUUGAAAUGUUUUUUACUUCAUUGUAAUAAAUUAUAUUUAGGAUUUUUACUUUGAGAAAAUUAGAGUGUUUCUAGCAGGCUAAUGCUUUGAAUACUGCAGCAUGGAAUAAUAAAAUAGGAUUUUGGUUCUACAUUAUUGGUUUUAAGAGCUAAAUUAAUGAUUGAUAGGGACAGUUGGGGGCAUUUGUAUUUAACUGUCAGAGGUGAAAUUCUUA
Molecule: ribosomal RNA, 347 nt
Filed under: Hepatozoon felis
Lineage: Eukaryota; Apicomplexa; Hepatozoidae
Description: partial small subunit ribosomal RNA
Rfam family: Eukaryotic small subunit ribosomal RNA
Source: RNAcentral